This 1186-nucleotide long non-coding RNA is filed under the name Equus caballus (horse). Its description in RNAcentral is "lncRNA (ENSECAG00000052170.1)". The record is from RNAcentral. Lineage: Eukaryota; Metazoa; Chordata; Mammalia; Perissodactyla; Equidae.
GCCCACUCUACUCUAGUAUGACCUCAUCUUAACUUGAUUAUGUGGGCAAAGACCCUAUUUCCAAAUAAGGCUACAUUCACAGGCAGCAGCAAUUAAGAUCUCAACAUAUCUUCUAGGAGGACACAACCCAACCCAAUACAGAAGCGUAGUAAGUGUUACUACACAGAGGAACUAACGUGGAAAUAUGCCAGUGGAAAGAAGGGGGGAUCUAAGUUAGCUGCCCCACAUCUGUCACAGCGGAAAGCCAAGAGACAAAGACUGCAGUUGGUAAAGCGAGAAGCGAUGGUAGAAACUCACUCUUGCAUGAAGGUAUUCGAAGUGGUUCUUUUAUGAAGCCAGUCUAAGCACUUCAGUAAUAAAAAGAGGAAGAACAAACAGUCCCAACCCUGCGAAGAUGCUGUAUGGAGGUCAGGCUGCCCAACAGGCUGGAAGAGGCACAGCACGAAUGCUGCAGUCUGGGGCGCAGCAGGGGAGAAGGAAAGGAGAAAAGUUUGCCACACAGAGGAUCGGGGAGCAACAAUGAGGAAGGAAAGAAGAGACAGAAGGAAUGCCUGCCUUUAAGGCACUAGUUUCUACACACACAGCCUGCCUCAGAUAUAAUGAAACAGCAGCAAGUUUUUCAGUGAAACUUACCAGUACUGGAUAAGGAAAUUGAGGCUCAAGUUUUUCACUAACUCCCCCAAUGUCACAAGACAAAGCAAUCGAUCAGGGUUUCAAAGAGGCCUGCGGUCCUAAAUGCCACAAUGACUAUUAAACAGUGUCCUGCCCAUGAGCAAACAGGAGGGAGGAGAGAUUGAUCGUGCAUCUUUUUCAUCUAAGCUGCUCACCAAAAACAAAGCAUCUGUUGAAGCCACUGACCUUUCACUAACUGCUGGAAGGAAAAUGCUUGAUAAAUAAUAAAUAGACCACUAUUGGAUGUUGCUUAGAACCAUCUUUUAAUUAAAAGAACUGAGCAACCAGAAGGUCAGGUGACUGACAUUUAAGUUCCAGUCCAGGAAGAGCAUCAAUCGAGGGGAAAAUUGUACCCUAAAUGUAAUUUCAUUGUUAGCUCGCAUUCAACAGAAGUCCCCUCUCUGUAAUCUGUUCAGAUGGGGGGCGGUGCUGGUGACGCUUGGUAGGGGACAAAACACUUCACUUCCUGCCUCCUUCGCCUUCCCCUGGCAACCUUUUCGUUUCUGUGCUGCAG